This 1523-nucleotide long non-coding RNA is filed under the name Macaca mulatta (Rhesus monkey). Its description in RNAcentral is "lncRNA (ENSMMUG00000049184.2)". Lineage: Eukaryota; Metazoa; Chordata; Mammalia; Primates; Cercopithecidae. The record is from RNAcentral.
AGGUCAGGUUAGGAGGCAGGAGCCCUGAGAGGCUGUAGGGACGCACAGCCUGCCCUGGGUGCUGUGCCCUGUUCAAGAUGGGCUAUUUCACUUGAUGAGGCGGCCUGGGGCUAGAAAGCUGUUCUUCCCUGCUCCUCCCUUGCACCUGCUGACCGUCACUCUUUGUCUUCCUAGAUUCCACCGAGGAUCUCCAGGAAAAGCCUCCUUGGAAAGUGAAGGAGGCCUGGAGAGAGCAGGAGAGUGCGACGGUGACCAAUCAGAUCAUCCCAGAAGCGGUUGUAGCUCGUCGCAAGCGAACAGGAGGACUAGGAGCUCACGUGAAAAGACGUUUCAAGUUUCUUUCAGCAGAGCUUCCUAGAGAGAAGUCCACAGAGGAAGUCCUGGCCGUUUUCAAAAGGGACUCAGCGUUUCAGUCAAGCGGUCCCAUGGAGGGUCCCGUGGAAAAAUUCAUCUAUGAAUCAGAUGAGGAGGCCCCACGACAGUGGCAGGUCAGGCCACCUGCUGUUGUCACAGAAAAAGCCGGCGGACUGCCUGAAGAAAAAGGUUCCAGGAAGGAGCCCCUGGAAGACAGCAACAAAGGCUCAGCUGAGGACGCUUCCCAAUAUUUGAAGGUACCAACAAGACCUCUCCCGGCACCUCCAGAAAAGGCAAAAGAGACAAACCCUGAGCAGGCAGAAGAAAUAUACCAACAAGUCCUCUCCCGGAACCUGAAGAAAAAGCAAUAGAGACAAACCCUGAACAGGCAGAAGAAAUAAAACCUAGUGAGCUCAAGGAGGAUGAGAAUGCUGAAGAGCCUGACUCGACCUGUUCUGGCUUUUGUACUUCAUGGUGGAAAUCCCUAAAGAUUUGUCAACCUCCGGAAGGGCCGAAACUCGGUAGAUUUCCCUGGCCCGUCAGCCCUCUGGAUCGUGCGAGUAUUGGAGAAUCCCCUUCCUCUGUAGUUUUUUUUGGCCUUCUUUAAUUUUUUAAAAAAAUAUUCUUACUUUAACAUGUUUACUUUUAAGACAGAAGCUGUCAUUGUGUCAUCAUAGCUUACAUUUUAUUGCUGAAGUAAUUUUUCCAUUGUUUUAUUAGGUUUUUUUGGAUCUUUGUCCACUCAUUUUGGAGUUUUUGUAAUUUUGAUAGGUGUUCUUUUAUGCUUUGUAUUGUUUUCUUAAUGACUUUUAGCUUAGUUUUUAACAAAUCCAUAGUACAGUAAGUUAUAUUAAGACAGUAUUUCAGCCAGGUGCGGUGGCUCACGCCUGUAAUCCUAGCAGUUUGGGAGGCCGAGGCAGGCAAAUCACAAGGUCAGGAGAUCGAGACCAUCCUGGCUAAGAUGUUGAAACCCUGUCUCUACUAAAAAUACAAAAAAUUAGCUGGGUGUGGUGGUGGGCACCUGUAGUCCCAGGUACUCGGGAGGCUGAGGCAGGAGAAUGGCAUGAACCCAGGAGGCAGAGCUUGCAGUGAGCCAAGAUAGCCCCACUGCACUCCAACCUGGGGGACAGAGUGACACUCCACCUCCAAAAAAAAAAAAAAAAAAAAAA